Lagopus muta (rock ptarmigan) is the source of this 7233-nucleotide long non-coding RNA. RefSeq lists it as uncharacterized. The transcript is spliced from 9 exons. The record is from RefSeq and is a predicted model, not a curated record. Lineage: Eukaryota; Metazoa; Chordata; Aves; Galliformes; Phasianidae.
CAUGAUGCAGCCCUGCUCUGCAAUAGUUUACAUGAACGUGGUAGCUUCUCAUGGGUGGCACAAGAAUUCAGAUCAGUCUAUGUUAAAAGCUCUCAGUGCAGGGAAAAUACAGAAAUUGGAACAGCAGAAUGUAACAUGAAAAGCUAUGGCAGUGGGAAGAGGCCAGCUGGUUCAACGUGCCCGUCCUUUUAAAGCAGGCUGCACUGUUGAUGGUUCUCCUGCUGGUGCUCACUCCUGAGAUUCCAAGCUUAGUCUUCUGAAUAGGAGAUACAGCGUGCUGCCAUGCUUGCCAAACCUAUUUGAUCAGCACACACAGCUUGAGGAAAAAACAAGGAAGAAGCAGGAAUGCAAAUUUUAGAGAAAUCUUUCAAACUCUGCAGUGAUCGGUGAGGUCUGCUCUCACCUGGAGGAAGGACCGAUUGUGCACCCAGUUCUGUGCUAAUGGGAAGUUUAAACUUUGUGCAUCUUAACUUCAUGUAGCAUGCUUCUUCUCUGCACAGUGGGGGCUCCGGCAGCUGGGGAUGCAGGACGUGGGGCUGGCGGCAGGAGCUGUCAGUAUCUCUGUCUGAGUCACAACAGCUAUUCCUUGUUAUCUGCGGUUGAAGAAUACAUAGAGCCAGCACGUUUCAGCAUGAGUAUAUGGAUUCUGAAAAUCAGCAUAAGCACAGGAAUCCUGGUAAAAUGCAGCAAAGGAUUUAAGGUUAUCAUCUGUCUCUCCCUAACUUCUGACAUCUCUUUAUAACAAGAAAGAGUCACAGCCAACUGUAACAGGAGGGCAACACAAUGAAUCCCGGUGCCGAAGAAGCUGUGGAUCCCUCAGUUACGCUCAGUUAUGCCUGGUUUAUUACUAAUGAAGGUAAUGGGUGGAGUAGCAGACAUCGGUGAAGCAGCUACAAGGUGAUGUUUGCAAAGCAAGGCUUUGAGCUCCCCUGCUCUGUACCCAUUUGUCACUCCUUUCAAAAAGAAGAUGGAAACUCUUGGUAUGGAUGCAAAACUCAGAAGAGGUCUGUGCCAAAUAAGAGCAAGAACACAGCUGCACAAGACUCAGCACACUUCUCAUAGACAAAAUGCAAUGAAGGAAAAGAAGGCACUUUAAGCUAAAUCAGAGAUUAUUAUAGAAUGCUUUUCCCAUUCAGCUUGCUCUAGAAGGAAUAUGUACAUGCAGCAGCAGCACUUGGGGUAUGAAGAGCUUCUUUGAAAGCAGAAGCAGUUGCCAGUAUUUGAGGUGUGGAUGGUAAGUGAGAAAAUCAGCUGUUCCUGCAGAGGUGCCCCCAGCAACAGCAGCUUCUGAGAAAUCCUGCUUUUGUGUCCUCAAUGAGAACACAGCCUGGAAUGACUGACAGCAAGCUCUGUUUGCAGGAAGCAUUUCGGACCAUCAUCCAUUGCCUGAGGAGGUUUCCAGAGGCCAAGCAGAAGCAAUCAGCUGUGUAAACAUUUCAAGGUACAGAAGGAGCCAUAAACACAGAGCCACAAAUGGAGUUUGUGCAGAUCCUUGCUGUACUGGUCUGUGAAGGCAUGCUGUUAUCUUUCAAACAGUGGUGCACAGGGGCGUUAGGCAGUGGUCGGGUCCUUCACCCUUGGCAUCUUACUGUGCUUGUUUUACCUUCCAACUCUUCAUCUUAACACCUCCAGUCUAUUUCAAAUACUAUACACAAAGCCUUCCUGUUGGCAAAGGGGAACAUACUGCAUAUAUGGACCUAUUAAUUUAUUGUUAGUCUAAGGUUUUCAACAGUCUGAUAGUAAAAAUUACCAAAUCCAUACAGGAAGAUGUUAUAAAAUAGAGUUGAAAUUGUUAGACAAAAUUUCCCUGUUCUCUUGUGUUGUGCUUACUCCUCCAGUGUGCCUUUGGGUCUUAAGAUUGACAUCUUAGUAUUUCUCAAAAGGAAUGGGGGAGUAUGGUGAGUCAUCACCAGGACGAGCAAGAUAUUCAGGGGUGGGGGGAUAGCUUUUUUUCCUCGGUCUGGUGUAUUCUUGAAUUUUAUUUUAUAUGUUUUCUUAACACUAGAAGCUCACUGUGAUUGAAAGACUAUGAUCUGCAUCCUCUGUGUUUGCAUUUCCAUGACUUACUGUAAAGCCAUAGGCAAUUUAAUCCACAAGGAAAAGUCACUUGUUUUUAUUAUAAACUAAAAUUAAAUUGAAACAAAUCGAGUUGCAUGUACCUCAAAGUUACAUGCAGCCAAAAGAAUUUAAAAUCUACUUAGGCCAAGACAGAAUUGCCAAGGCCCUGUACCAUCACAUCAACAUAAAACACGGUUGGCCCUGCUUACCCACCAGGUGCUCAAUCACUAGUUCAAGCCCUGACUUAGCAUUUCUGCUACAGAGAAUCAUAGAAUCAUAGAAUGGCCUGGGUUGAAAAGGACCAUAAUGAUCAUCUAGUUUCAACCUCCCUGCUAUGUGCAAGGUCGCCAACCACCAGACCAUGCUGCCCAGAGCCACGUACAGCUUGACCUUGAAUGCCUUCAGGGACAGGGAGAGACCAUAGUGUAAUCUGUGAGGGUAUAGGAUAAUUAAAAUCAUACACUUCAAUCUAACAUAGAAACUUCACACACACGCACAGAGGAAUGUUUGUGAGGUAGUCCACAAUUUCUGGAAUUGGGAAUGCAUACAAACGCAGCUAGAUCCCACAUAUAUGAUUAUAGACUGCUUAGAAGCAGAAGGAGAAGUGCCAUGAUCAUAUAUAGUUAACUUUCAAGCUAAGCAGUCAUGUGAAGAGUGGAAACUAAUAUCUUCACAUAUAUAUUGCAUAUUUCAAUAUUUUUUCCAGCAUUCUUCUGAAAGUCUCACUGGAAUAUUCCAUUUUCUGCGAUAGUCUGUGUUCACAGAUGCACAGUUUUAUUACAAGAAACACUCAUUUUAUAUAUCUCCAAAAUUAUGUGAUCACCUUCUUGGUACAAAAAGAACUGUUCCAGCAACUUGGUACACGAUUACAUAGCUUACAUAUCUGUAGUGUUUGCAGCAUGUGCUAAGUUCAGGAUUUUUCAAAAGAUUUCCAAUACAGUAGUACACAAGUUUAUGUAAGAACUCUGAUUUUUCCAUCACAAAAAAUGUUUGUACCUUGUUGAACCGUCUUUGCUUUUAUGUUCUUUAAACACGUGCCCUUGUGCACCUCUGAGAAAAAUUUGGCUCUGAUUUCUCUAUAGCUUCCCAUGAUGUAUUUUUAGGCAGCAAUAAAUCCCUGCCAUCCCCUCGGCCUUUUCAGGGCUGAGGAAUCGCAGCUCCCUCGGCCUCUCCUGGCACGCUGCCUAGCGCCUGGCCUGCUCUGCUCUAGCGCCGUACGGCAGUGUCUGCCUUGUACUGUAGGAGAUACCAUAAUUAAAUUCGUAAUUUUCAUUUAUGGCUUCUACUUUCGUUCACAUGCUUCUUGACAGUGGAAUGCUUUUAACUUGUUCUGCAGCUGUACCCUCUUCUCAAGCAUUAUGCUGUGCCAGUUCAGUUGGAUGUGCUCCUGUUUCAGCUUUAAGUUUCCCUUCUGCAAAGUCCAAAUUUCUGCUAGCACUGCCUUUUCUACAUUUUCUUCUCUUGCUGCUAACCAGCACAUUAUAGGCUAGGCAAGAGAAGAAUUUAGACUUUGUUUUCUUUUAAUUUUAGAAAAGGUUGCUUUGCUGCCUGAAUAGUUUUGCAAGAAGCUAGAUCCAAGGAUAUGCUCAUCACUGGAUUUAGACCAGACAAGUUUAGAAAGAAGAACAUUUCCAAAGACAAUUUAAGAUAAGAAGAGCAGCAGAGCUCAUCUGAGUUUGCACAUGUCUGGCAGCAUUUGGCUCUGCAGAGUGCGGACACAGAGAGUGUCUGAGUUUCCCCUGCAGUCAAUGAGAACAGGGGAUAGUCAUAUUUGGCAGAAAGUAUUCUCUCUUUUGCAGGAUUUGACUCUUGAAGAACCCCACACUAUAAUGAAAAACUCUUCCUCACAUCUCCCCACUUCCAAUUCAGGAGCUUAAAAUGAUUGCAUUACCAUUAGAAACAUUACAAAGAAAUCAGUCUAAAAAUCACUCUAGCAAAGGCAGUGGAGCUGCAACUGCAGGUGUCAUGGAAUUUAGUGUGAAAGAUGGUGUUUCCAAAUUUGUUUCUGAAAUAUUUGAAAAGACUGUGUAAAGAGGGGAAGCAAGCAAACUAGCAGGCAGUGUUUUUUCCCUCUGUGGUUUUUGUGGACUAAGAAUAGAGAGAACAUGUAGCAAGCAUCUUGCUAUUAAAUUUGCCCAUGACAAAUAGUGCAGCUGCACAUAGUGUGCAAGAACAUCUGUAGACUCAUGACACAUGCAAAAUUCCCCACACUAAGAACGUGACAUUAUGCUGAAAACAAUUCAGUUGUAAAAGCAACAUAAAUCCAUUUUACAUAGACUUUCUCCACCUUUCCUCCCCUUCUCUUUUGAAUUAUGUUAACUGAAGAAUUCUGUCUCUCCUACAUGACAUUAGUAAAAAUCACAAUGUAAAAGUGAGUAAACAUUUCAGAAUUGUCCUUUUUUUCAUUAGCGGCUGGAAGGCAGGUAUGCCUUUCCUGGAGGAAAAGAAAGUUUAAGAAAGAAUAACCAGCAGCAGAAAUGCAUUAGACACCAAAUCCUACUCCAAGUGGAUCUUGACAGGGUUUGGCAGCUGCAAUUUAACUCUUCAGAAAUCAAGGGGUGAUUUCCUGUGUCUCUUGUGCAGUUGUUCAGUCCUAAGUGAGCAGUGGGAUUGCUACCAGCCUUUACUUCGCUGAUAUAGAUGCUUGCACAAAAUGCAGCAAUAGGGAACAAUAUGUCUAAAAUGUGUAGGUUUCUAAGAUAAAGGGAAAUUCCCUAGCUGGGAUUUAUUUGAGUUCCCAUAGUUUCUCUGACAAAAUAAUGCAGUUAUUGUGGAAUUCUUUAGAAGUUCAUCUAAGCUCCACAUUGCCCUAAUGAAUCAUAGAAUGGCUUAGUUGGAAGGGACCUUAAAGAUCAUCUAGUUCCAAACCCCUCCUUCUCCAAUACUUUCUUUGCAAUCUUUAGACUUACUGAAGUAAAAAAAUCUUAAAAUGGCAACACAAAUACUAAUUUUUGUUGCGAGUCUGAGGUUAUUUAAAGGCUUUGUGAUAGUAAUGUCAUGAGAAGGCAGACCUAGGCAUGCUGUUAGUAUCUGGAUCAUAAUUAACUUGUUUCUUUGGAAACAUCUCACUUACUUACUCUGACAUUCAGUCAGAACAGUUCAUAGUAACUACCUGAACCUCCAAGAACAUUUCCCCAUUCUUUAUGUAGAGCGCAGAAUGAGACUGAAGCUGGAGGUGUCAUCCAGCUGGGUCCUAAUUUUCAGCUCUCUGCCCAUUAAAUUCCUGCAACCUAACUGCAAAACCAUAAGAGCAAUGUAAUGAUGUUAUUGAGAGCAUACAUUUUGAGCAUACUGACUUUCUGUAUUCUUUGGUUAAGUCCUUGGAAUUCAGUUUCCUUUCCUAAGUGCAGAAAGCCUUGUUUUUCAAUUUCAGAGAGAUAUAGAGCACAAAUGAGAAUGUUUUUAAAGCACUCUGAAGAUGGAAAAAGUGUGCAAGUACCACUGAUGUCACCUGACAACAUUUGUUUACUGUUAGGGGUAUAUUAAUAUCUUAGUUUAAUUAGAUUUGAUUCCUUAUUCAAUAACACAAUGAUUUCUAAAAUUCACUUCCUGGUUUGAUGUCCAGCAACUGUUUACACAAGAUACGUGAUGAUGUACGUCACCAUAGCAGGAAGGAAUAUCCUGAGAAGCAGGAGUUGGGAAAUGCCCCUUUUUUAACCUGUUUUAUGUCCCCACCUCUCAUGCAGAGAAGUACACGUUCAGUGGUGAGUUGUGACUGCAGUCAGUUGUGGCCUCUCCAUGCUGGCAAUGACUGCCUGUUGUCCGCACUGUGCGCCUGAACGUCACUGCUGUAAUCCUUUUUUGUCUCUGCCUGUGCAUUAGUUGCUCUCUGAGGUACACGACACAGCAGUUGCAAGCAGCUCAAUAUAGUAAUGGGCUCUGGCGAAUAAUGAAAGUAGCGAUAAGGUUUUUAAAACAUUAGCACUGCAAGGAGCUGUGGGAGAACGUAGCAAAGCUAUUCUUACAUGGUACGCAAAGCAGAGCACUUCAGCUCCACUUUUGCACUUUUACUCUAAAUAAAUUGAAGGGUUUUAUGAUGAUUUUAAAGGCCUCAUUUUGUUUUUCUCAAGGCAGAAUAACUGUAACUCUUAGUGAGUAGACACUCUGUUUUCCCAUAGACAAGCUAUUUGAAAAAUGCAGGUAAUAAAAUAAACACCAGUCUAGAAAAAACAAACUUACUUGUUUUAGACCAGAAGGAGACAAAAUCAGCAUUAAGAUUAUUAUUAUUGUAGCUGAUUUAAUUCUCAUUUGUUUAUCUUCAUUUCUGUCUCUGCUGCUGUGAGUCUUGUUUAUUGGCUUCUCAGCCAGGAGACUAUCCUGUAGGAAAUUGCUGUCAGCAGUCAGAAAGAGAAUCAGCAAUUCAUCCUCAUGCACUAUCAACUUAAGUCUAAAGUAAUUUAGCUGCCUUGUAAGUUCAUGCUGAAGCAGUGAGUUUACAAAUUGAUAAAUCAAACCAUAUUAAUAAAGAAAACAUAUACCUCUUUUUCAAAUAUUCUGCUUUCUUAAAACUUUGUUGUAAGCAGUUUUUAGUAAUUGCAUGUUCAAUUUCUAGAAAAAAAGAGAAAGAAGUCAAAUUAUGAAGUGUAUUCUGUACAAGGUUUAAAACAGAAAGGCUAUUUAACUACUCCUUAUUCAGCCCUAACAAAUGCACACUGAACAUCCAGAAUGGUAGCAUGGUAUGGUACCUUUAAAUGGUACCUGCUUUUACUGGGCUAUUUGAUUUGUGUAUCCUGUGGCUGAAGGCAAUGCCCUGCAGCAGCAGACCCUGACUCCUUGUGUCCUUCUGCUCGUCCUACCAGCAUGUGAUGGAGGAGGCCUCAGGCCCAGAGUAGAAAUUUGUUUGCAAUGCUUCAGGUACCACAGAAUGCGAUGGUUUCAGGCAGAGGAUUAUGCUGUAAUUAUAAAAGUCAUUUGUGAAUUUAAAAACCGAAUGUAUGCUGAUUUUGUGGUGUCCUCUCAAGUCUGCAUAAGUAUUGGAUACCUGUCAUGGGCAUGCUAACAUCCACUGAUCUGCUGUGUGCAUCCACUGCUUACAACCAGGUUUAACAGACUCAGAAGACUUGCUCACUGGUGUCAUUGUGCAGGCUGACAAAUGGCCUCCGGGAACAGUGAGGCACUUGCAUUCUAGCUCUGCUGUGAGUCUAGAGUGAUCUCCUGGGUUGUGGGAAAGUUUCC